This 301-nucleotide ribosomal RNA is filed under the name uncultured bacterium. RNAcentral's name for it is "partial 16S ribosomal RNA". It matches the Rfam family "Bacterial small subunit ribosomal RNA", at positions 509 to 807 of the family's 1533-position model. The record is from RNAcentral.
CAGUCGCCGCGGGAAUACGAAGGGUGCAAGCGUUACUCGGAAUUACUGGGCGUAAAGCGUGCGUAGGCGGUUAUAUAAGACAGAUGUGAAAUCCCCGGGCUCAACCUGGGAACUGCAUUUGUGACUGUAUAGCUAGAGUACGGCAGAGGGGGAUGGAAUUCCGCGUGUAGCAGUGAAAUGCGUAGAUAUGCGGAGGAACACCGAUGGCGAAGGCAAUCCCCUGGGCCUGUACUGACGCUCAUGCACGAAAGCGUGGGGAGCAAACAGGAUUAGAUACCCGUGUAGUCCCUGUCUCUUAUAC